Molecule: ribosomal RNA, 424 nt
Filed under: uncultured bacterium
Lineage: Bacteria
Description: partial 16S ribosomal RNA
Rfam family: Bacterial small subunit ribosomal RNA
Source: RNAcentral
AAUUUUUUACAAUGGGCGCCAGCCUGAUCCAGCCAUACCGCGUUAGUGAAUUUGGCCUUCGGCUUGUAAUGCACUUUCGGACGGUAUGAAAUAUCGCGGGCUAAUACCCUGUGCGGAUGACGUUUCUGUCAUAAUAAGCACCGGCUCACUACGUGCCAGCAGCCGCGGUAAGUCGUAGGGGGCGAGCGUUAAUCGGAAUUACUGGGUGUAAAGCGUGCGCAGGCGGGUGAUUAAGACAGGCGUUAAAUCCCACGGCUUAACCUGGGAACUGGGCGUGUGAAUGGUCAGCUAGAGUACGGCAGAGGGGGGUGGGAUGACACGUGUAGCAGUUAAAUGCGUAGGUAUGUACAGGAACACCGAUGAGGAAGGCAGCCCCCUGGGCCGAUACUGACGCUCAUGCACUAAAGCGUGGGUAGCAAACAGG